The sequence is a ribosomal RNA, 359 nucleotides long. It matches the Rfam family "Bacterial small subunit ribosomal RNA", at positions 1 to 338 of the family's 1533-position model.
UUUAAUGAAGAGUUUGAUCCUGGCUCAGGACGAACGCUGGCGGCGCGCCUAACACAUGCAAGUCGAACGGAGUUAUUUUGACAGAAGCCUUCGGGCAGACGUUGAUAUAACUUAGUGGCGAACGGGUGAGUAACACGUGAGCAACCUGCCCUUCAGAGGGGGACAACAGUUGGAAACGACUGCUAAUACCGCAUAAGACCACGGUGUGGCAUCACACAGAGGUCAAAGGAGAAAUCCGCUGAAGGAUGGGCUCGCGUCCAAUUAGCUAGAUGGUGAGGUAACGGCCCACCAUGGCGACGAUUGGUAGCCGGACUGAGAGGUUGAUCGGCCACAUUGGGACUGAGACACGGCCCAGACUC